Molecule: non-coding RNA, 92 nt
Submitted as: unclassified sequences
Source: Rfam
CAACGUAAUACGGCGUUUUAUGCUGAUGAUUAAUACCCAACAGCGUACGGACUAGAACUCCGAUCGGACUUCUUUAAGGAGAAAACAAAAUG